CGCAACGCUGACCUUUCAAGCCUGGGUUUAGGAAGAACGUGGUUCCCGGGUCAGAAGUUACCAGAAAGAAGCCCUGUUUUCCACACUCAGGGUUGGAUUUCACGGUCCUCUAGUGUCCAGCUGCACCUCUGGACGUGACCCUGGACGUCCCUGUGGUCCCAGUGUGACCCACCCAGGACUGCACGGGCUUCUCCCCUCCACCAGGACCCUGCUGCACGGACCUCUCCCGGGCCCCUGACAGCGGCUGCAGACGUCGAGGGUCGGGUGUGAGCCUGUCAUACACAAGAGGUCCCAUCCCGGCUCCGCCCCAGAGGGCCCUCUGAGUCUCACUGGAUUUUCCCUGUGCUGGAAGCAGAGACGUUAACAGGGUUCGGCUGCUUCUCCGAAGCGUCUUUUUCCUCUGGAAAGCGGCCCGUGACUGCAAACGAGCGCUUCUGUGAAAUACUGAGGACGAACUUACUAGCCGUCCCGACCCUGGGCCCAGCCGUCCGAGACCCGUUAACCCGUUG
This 509-nucleotide long non-coding RNA is filed under the name Felis catus (domestic cat). Its description in RNAcentral is "lncRNA (ENSFCAG00000049859.1)". The record is from RNAcentral. Lineage: Eukaryota; Metazoa; Chordata; Mammalia; Carnivora; Felidae.